Molecule: ribosomal RNA, 2923 nt
Filed under: Klebsiella pneumoniae
Lineage: Bacteria; Pseudomonadati; Pseudomonadota; Gammaproteobacteria; Enterobacterales; Enterobacteriaceae
Description: bacterial LSU rRNA
Rfam family: Bacterial large subunit ribosomal RNA
Source: RNAcentral
GGGUUGUGAGGUUAAGCGACUAAGCGUACACGGUGGAUGCCCUGGCAGUCAGAGGCGAUGAAGGACGUGCUAAUCUGCGAAAAGCGUCGGUAAGGUGAUAUGAACCGUUAUAGCCGGCGAUGUCCGAAUGGGGAAACCCAGUGCAAUUCGUUGCACUAUCGUUAACUGAAUACAUAGGUUAACGAGGCGAACCGGGGGAACUGAAACAUCUAAGUACCCCGAGGAAAAGAAAUCAACCGAGAUUCCCCCAGUAGCGGCGAGCGAACGGGGAGCAGCCCAGAGUCUGAAUCAGCUUGUGUGUUAGUGGAACGGUCUGGAAAGUCCGACGGUACAGGGUGAUAGUCCCGUACACCAAAAUGCACAGGCUGUGAACUCGAAGAGUAGGGCGGGACACGUGGUAUCCUGUCUGAAUAUGGGGGGACCAUCCUCCAAGGCUAAAUACUCCUGACUGACCGAUAGUGAACCAGUACCGUGAGGGAAAGGCGAAAAGAACCCCGGCGAGGGGAGUGAAAAAGAACCUGAAACCGUGUACGUACAAGCAGUGGGAGCACCUUCGGGUGUGACUGCGUACCUUUUGUAUAAUGGGUCAGCGACUUAUAUUCUGUAGCAAGGUUAACCGUAUAGGGGAGCCGCAGGGAAACCGAGUCUUAACUGGGCGUUAAGUUGCAGGGUAUAGACCCGAAACCCGGUGAUCUAGCCAUGGGCAGGUUGAAGGUUGGGUAACACUAACUGGAGGACCGAACCGACUAAUGUUGAAAAAUUAGCGGAUGACUUGUGGCUGGGGGUGAAAGGCCAAUCAAACCGGGAGAUAGCUGGUUCUCCCCGAAAGCUAUUUAGGUAGCGCCUCGUGAACUCAUCUUCGGGGGUAGAGCACUGUUUCGGCUAGGGGGUCAUCCCGACUUACCAACCCGAUGCAAACUACGAAUACCGAAGAAUGUUAUCACGGGAGACACACGGCGGGUGCUAACGUCCGUCGUGAAGAGGGAAACAACCCAGACCGCCAGCUAAGGUCCCAAAGUCAUGGUUAAGUGGGAAACGAUGUGGGAAGGCACAGACAGCCAGGAUGUUGGCUUAGAAGCAGCCAUCAUUUAAAGAAAGCGUAAUAGCUCACUGGUCGAGUCGGCCUGCGCGGAAGAUGUAACGGGGCUAAACCAUGCACCGAAGCUGCGGCAGCGACACUAUGUGUUGUUGGGUAGGGGAGCGUUCUGUAAGCCUGCGAAGGUGACCUGUGAGGGUUGCUGGAGGUAUCAGAAGUGCGAAUGCUGACAUAAGUAACGAUAAAGCGGGUGAAAAGCCCGCUCGCCGGAAGACCAAGGGUUCCUGUCCAACGUUAAUCGGGGCAGGGUGAGUCGACCCCUAAGGCGAGGCCGAAAGGCGUAGUCGAUGGGAAACAGGUUAAUAUUCCUGUACUUGGUGUUACUGCGAAGGGGGGACGGAGAAGGCUAUGUUAGCCGGGCGACGGUUGUCCCGGUUUAAGCAUAUAGGCUGGUUAUCCAGGCAAAUCCGGAUAAUCAAGGCUGAGGUGUGAUGACGAGGUACUACGGUGCUGAAGUAACAAAUGCCCUGCUUCCAGGAAAAGCCUCUAAGCAUCAGGUAACAUCAAAUCGUACCCCAAACCGACACAGGUGGUCAGGUAGAGAAUACCAAGGCGCUUGAGAGAACUCGGGUGAAGGAACUAGGCAAAAUGGUGCCGUAACUUCGGGAGAAGGCACGCUGGUGUGUAGGUGAAGUCCCUGCGGAUGGAGCUGAGACCAGUCGAAGAUACCAGCUGGCUGCAACUGUUUAUUAAAAACACAGCACUGUGCAAACACGAAAGUGGACGUAUACGGUGUGACGCCUGCCCGGUGCCGGAAGGUUAAUUGAUGGGGUUAUCCGUAAGGAGAAGCUCUUGAUCGAAGCCCCGGUAAACGGCGGCCGUAACUAUAACGGUCCUAAGGUAGCGAAAUUCCUUGUCGGGUAAGUUCCGACCUGCACGAAUGGCGUAAUGAUGGCCAGGCUGUCUCCACCCGAGACUCAGUGAAAUUGAACUCGCUGUGAAGAUGCAGUGUACCCGCGGCAAGACGGAAAGACCCCGUGAACCUUUACUAUAGCUUGACACUGAACAUUGAGCCUUGAUGUGUAGGAUAGGUGGGAGGCUUUGAAGCGUGGACGCCAGUCUGCGUGGAGCCAACCUUGAAAUACCACCCUUUAAUGUUUGAUGUUCUAACGUUGGCCCCUGACCGGGGUUGCGGACAGUGUCUGGUGGGUAGUUUGACUGGGGCGGUCUCCUCCCAAAGCGUAACGGAGGAGCACGAAGGUUAGCUAAUCCUGGUCGGACAUCAGGAGGUUAGUGCAAUGGCAUAAGCUAGCUUGACUGCGAGCGUGACGGCGCGAGCAGGUGCGAAAGCAGGUCAUAGUGAUCCGGUGGUUCUGAAUGGAAGGGCCAUCGCUCAACGGAUAAAAGGUACUCCGGGGAUAACAGGCUGAUACCGCCCAAGAGUUCAUAUCGACGGCGGUGUUUGGCACCUCGAUGUCGGCUCAUCACAUCCUGGGGCUGAAGUAGGUCCCAAGGGUAUGGCUGUUCGCCAUUUAAAGUGGUACGCGAGCUGGGUUUAGAACGUCGUGAGACAGUUCGGUCCCUAUCUGCCGUGGGCGCUGGAGAAUUGAGGGGGGCUGCUCCUAGUACGAGAGGACCGGAGUGGACGCAUCACUGGUGUUCGGGUUGUCAUGCCAAUGGCACUGCCCGGUAGCUAAAUGCGGAAGAGAUAAGUGCUGAAAGCAUCUAAGCACGAAACUUGCCCCGAGAUGAGUUCUCCCUGAGACUUUAAGUCUCCUGAAGGAACGUUAAAGACGAUGACGUUGAUAGGCCGGGUGUGUAAGCGCAGCGAUGCGUUGAGCUAACCGGUACUAAUGAACCGUGAGGCUUAACCUUACAACGCCGAAG